UCGACACACUAUCAUUAACUGAAUCCAUAGGUUAAUGAGGCGAACCGGGGGAACUGAAACAUCUAAGUACCCCGAGGAAAAGAAAUCAACCGAGAUUCCCCCAGUAGCGGCGAGCGAACGGGGAGGAGCCCAGAGCCUGAAUCAGUGUGUGUGUUAGUGGAAGCGUCUGGAAAGGCGCGCGAUACAGGGUGACAGCCCCGUACACAAAAAUGCACAUAUUGUGAGCUCGAUGAGUAGGGCGGGACACGUGGUAUCCUGUCUGAAUAUGGGGGGACCAUCCUCCAAGGCUAAAUACUCCUGACUGACCGAUAGUGAACCAGUACCGUGAGGGAAAGGCGAAAAGAACCCCGGCGAGGGGAGUGAAAAAGAACCUGAAACCGUGUACGUACAAGCAGUGGGAGCCUCUUAAUGGGGUGACUGCGUACCUUUUGUAUAAUGGGUCAGCGACUUAUAUUCUGUAGCAAGGUUAACCGAAUAGGGGAGCCGAAGGGAAACCGAGUCUUAACUGGGCGUUAAGUUGCAGGGUAUAGACCCGAAACCCGGUGAUCUAGCCAUGGGCAGGUUGAAGGUUGGGUAACACUAACUGGAGGACCGAACCGACUAAUGUUGAAAAAUUAGCGGAUGACUUGUGGCUGGGGGUGAAAGGCCAAUCAAACCGGGAGAUAGCUGGUUCUCCCCGAAAGCUAUUUAGGUAGCGCCUCGUGAAUUCAUCUCCGGGGGUAGAGCACUGUUUCGGCAAGGGGGUCAUCCCGACUUACCAACCCGAUGCAAACUGCGAAUACCGGAGAAUGUUAUCACGGGAGACACACGGCGGGUGCUAACGUCCGUCGUGAAGAGGGAAACAACCCAGACCGCCAGCUAAGGUCCCAAAGUCAUGGUUAAGUGGGAAACGAUGUGGGAAGGCCCAGACAGCCAGGAUGUUGGCUUAGAAGCAGCCAUCAUUUAAAGAAAGCGUAAUAGCUCACUGGUCGAGUCGGCCUGCGCGGAAGAUGUAACGGGGCUAAACCAUGCACCGAAGCUGCGGCAGCGACACUAUGUGUUGUUGGGUAGGGGAGCG
This 1057-nucleotide ribosomal RNA is filed under the name Escherichia coli. RNAcentral's name for it is "partial 23S ribosomal RNA". It matches the Rfam family "Bacterial large subunit ribosomal RNA", at positions 140 to 1238 of the family's 2925-position model. Lineage: Bacteria; Pseudomonadati; Pseudomonadota; Gammaproteobacteria; Enterobacterales; Enterobacteriaceae. The record is from RNAcentral.